GACGAACGCUGGCGGCGUGCUUAACACAUGCAAGUCGAGCGGUAAGGCCCUUUCGGGGGUACACGAGCGGCGAACGGGUGAGUAACACGUGGGUGACCUGCCCUCAGCUCUGGGAUAAGCCUGGGAAACUGGGUCUAAUACUGGAUAUGACUCCACGGUGCAUGUCGUGGGUGGAAAGCCUUGUGCGGCUGAGGAUGGGCCCGCGGCCUAUCAGCUUGUUGGUGGGGUGAUGGCCUACCAAGGCGACGACGGGUAGCCGGCCUGAGAGGCGACCGGCCACACUGGGACUGAGACACGG
This 298-nucleotide ribosomal RNA is filed under the name uncultured bacterium. RNAcentral's name for it is "partial 16S ribosomal RNA". It matches the Rfam family "Bacterial small subunit ribosomal RNA", at positions 28 to 329 of the family's 1533-position model. The record is from RNAcentral.